GAUGAACGCUGACAGAAUGCUUAACACAUGCAAGUCUUUGGCGAAGCUGUGCUUGCACAGCCUAGCCAAGGCGGACGGGUGAGUAACGCGUAAGGAACUUGCCCUGCAGUCAGGGAUAACAGACGGAAACGACUGAUAAGACCUGGUAAAGUCAGGCGGACUCAUGUCCAGCCUGAUGAAAAGAGAUGCUGCAGGAGAGCCUUGCGUCCUAUUAGCUUGUUGGUGGGGUAACGGCCCACCAAGGCGAUGAUAGGUAGCCGGCCUGAGGGGGUGGACGGCCACAAGGGGACUGAGAUACGGCCCUUACUCCUACGGGAGGCAGCAGUGGGGAAUAUUGGACAAUGGGGGCAACCCUGAUCCAGCAAUUCUGGGUGCACGAUGAAGGUUUUCGGAUUGUAAAGUGCUUUCAGCAGGGAAGAAAAAAAUGACGGUACCUGCAGAAGAAGCGACGGCUAAAUACGUGC
RNAcentral lists this ribosomal RNA (464 nucleotides) under uncultured bacterium. RNAcentral's name for it is "partial 16S ribosomal RNA". It matches the Rfam family "Bacterial small subunit ribosomal RNA", at positions 28 to 508 of the family's 1533-position model. The record is from RNAcentral.